Molecule: ribosomal RNA, 2279 nt
Filed under: metagenomes
Description: bacterial LSU rRNA
Rfam family: Bacterial large subunit ribosomal RNA
Source: RNAcentral
GUGCGCUUACAAGCGGUCGGAGCACUAUUAAAAGUGUGACGGCGUGCCUUUUGCAAAAUGAUCCGGCGAGUUAGUGUUUGCAGCAGGUUAAGACCUUCCGGGUCGAAGCCACAGGGAAACCGAGUCUGAAUAGGGCGAAUACGUUGCGGGUACUAGGCGCGAAACUGUGUGAUCUACCCAUGGACAGGUUGAAGCGCGGGUUAAACUGCGUGGAGGACCGAACUCAUUUGGGUUGAAAACCGAUGGGAUGAUCUGUGGGGAGGAGUGAAAGUCUAAUCAAACACAGAGAUAGCUCGUUCUCUCCGAAAUAUUUUUAGGGAUAGCCUCAAGCAACUAUGCGACGGGGGUAGAGAGACUGAAUCGGAUGGGGGCCCUUUCCUGGGUACCUCACCGAACCAAACUCCGAAUACCGUUGUAACUAUCUUGGGAGUCAGUCUGCGGGGGAUAAGCUCCGUGGUCAAGAGGGAAACAACCCAGAUCGUCGGCUAAGGUCCCCAAGUUCUAUUCAGUCACUAAGGAAGUUGAAUCUCUGUGACAGCCAGGAUGUUGGCUUAGAAGCAGCCACCAUUUAAAAAGUGCGUAACAGCUUACUGGUCGAGAGGUUCUGCGCCGAUAAUGAACGGGAGUAAAUAGAACACCGAAGCCGCGGGAUGCAGCAAUGCAUCGGUAGGAGAGCGCUGAACAGGAUAUACAAGACGUACCGUAAGGAGCGUUGUCGGCCUGUUCAGGUGAUUAUGCCGGAAUGAGUAACGAUUAAGCAGGUGAGAAUCCUGCUCGCCGAAUACCUAAGGUUUCCUGGGGAAGGUAAAUCCGCCCAGGGUUAGCCGGUACCUUAGUCGAGGCCGAAGGGCGUAGACGAUGGAUGUAAGGUUAAUAUUCCUUAGCCGGCCUUGUGAAGUGAUGGAGGGACGGCACCCGGAGACACAGCAGUACGAUUAGAAAUGUCUGUUGGUCCUGAUGAGGCGUCCGGUUGGUAAAUCCGCCGGGCACAAACCAAGACAGGAUCACGAGAGCACUUAAGAUCUCGAAGUGUGUGGAAGGGUGUCCAAGAAAAACUUCUAAACGUUAAAGCAAGGUUGACCGUACUAAAACUGACACAGGUAGGUAAGAAGAGUAUUCUAAGGCGCUCGGGAGAACGGUGGUUAAGGAACUCUGCAAAAUGGCUCCGUAAGUUCGCGAUAAGGGGCGCCCACGCAAGUGGGCCACAGAAAAUCGGCACUAGCGACUGUUUAUCAAAAACACAGGACUCUGCGAACUCGUAAGAGGAUGUAUAGAGUCUGACGCCUGCCCGGUGUUGGUAGGUUAAGGAAGAGAGUUAGCAGCAAUGCGAAGCCCGCGACCGAAGCCCCAAUAAACGGCGGCCCUAACUAUGAGGGUCCUAAGGUAGCGAAAUUCCUUGUCGGGUAAGUUCCGACCUGCAUGAAAGGCGUAACGACUGGUGCACUGUCUCAACCACCGACCCGGUGAAAUUGUAGUUGUGGUGAAGAUGCCACAUACCCGCGGCUAGACGGAAAGACCCCAUGAACCUUCACUGUAGGCUGAUAUUGGGUUGAGGUAUGUAUUGUGCAGAAUAGCUGGGAGGCUUUGAACCGGGGACGCAAGUUCACGGGGAGCCAUCGUUGAGAUACCAGCCUGUAUAUGCUUUAAUUCUAACUUUGACCCAUGAAUCUGGGCUUAGGACAUUGUCAGUUGGGCAGUUUGACUGGGGCGGUCUCCUCCUAAAGAGUAACGGAGGAGCGCAAUGGUACCCUCAGCCUGGUCGGUAAUCAGGCAAAGAGCGUAAAGGUAUAAGGGUGCUUGACUGCGAGACAAAUAAGUCGAGCAGGUACGAAAGUAGGCCUUAGUGAUCCGGUAAUUCCGAAUGGAAGGGUUAUCGCUCAUCAGAUAAAAGGUACUCUGGGGAUAACAGGCUUAUCGCCACCGAGCGUCCACAGCGGCGUGGCGGUUUGGCACCUCGAUGUCGGCUCAUCGCAUCCUGGGGGUGAAGAAGCUCCCAAGGGUUUGGCUGUUCGCCAAUGAAAGCGGUACGUGAGCUGGGUUCAGACCGUCGUGAGACAGUAGCUCUGGUGUACCAGUUGUCACGCUAGUGGCACGGCUGGAUAGCUAACUACGGAAAGGAUAAACGCUGAAAGCAUCUAAGCGUGAAGCCCUCUCUGAGAUAAGGUUUCGUAGCUACUUGUAGCGAGAGUCCCCAGGUAGACUACCUGGUUGAUAGGCUAGAUGUGUAAGCACCGUAAGGUGUUCAGCUAACUAGUACUAAUGGACGAACGCUUGACCAU